Long non-coding RNA from Haliotis rubra (blacklip abalone), 191 nucleotides. RefSeq lists it as uncharacterized. The record is from RefSeq and is a predicted model, not a curated record. The transcript has 3 exons. NCBI's taxonomy places the organism in Eukaryota, Metazoa, Mollusca, Gastropoda, Lepetellida, Haliotidae.
UGAAGCUGAACUCAGUGGACAGGACAGCUAUGGACAUCCAGGUGAUACUGAUUGUAGCACUGACGCUUGUAUCAACACAAGUGGAUAAGUGCAUGGAGGACCAACAGUGCUCAAACUGCUCAAGUACAACACAAUACUGCAGUACAGAUUGCUUUUCGGGGUAUUUCGACCGCAGAUGCAAGUCCCGCUGU